CUAGAGUGGCGGAGAGGAAAGCGGAACUCUUGGUGUAACGGUGGAAUGUGUAGAUAUCAAGAGGAACACCGGUGGCGAAGGCGGCUUUCUGGACGCACACUGACGCUCAGGCGCGAAAGCGUGGGUAGCAAACAGGAUUAGAUACCCUGGUAGUCCACGCCAUAAACGAUGGGUACUAGGUGUCGGGGGUAUCGACCCCUCCGGUGCCGCAGUUAACGCACUAAGUACCCCGCCUGGGGAUUAUGGUCGCAAGGCUGAAACUCAAAGGAAUUGACGGGGCCCCGCACAAGCGGUGGAGCAUGUGGUUUAAUUCGACGCAACGCGAAGAACCUUACCUGGGCUUGACAUGCUUGGGACAGCGCUGGAAACAGCGUCUCUCCUUCGGGAGCCCUUGCACAGGUGCUGCAUGGCUGUCGUCAGCUCGUGUCGUGAGAUGUUGGGUUAAGUCCCGCAACGAGCGCAACCCUCGUUACUAGUUGCCAUCAGUUCGGCUGGGCACUCUAGUGAGACUGCCGGUGAUAAACCGGAGGAAGGUGAGGAUGAUGUCAAGUCAUCAUGGCCCUUACGCCCAGGGCUACACACGUGCUACAAUGGUCGGCACAAAGGGUCGCUAAGCCGCGAGGUGGAGCUAAUCCCAAGAAGCCGGCCUCAGUUCGGAUUGGAGUCUGCAACCCGACUCCAUGAAGGCGGAAUCGCUAGUAAUCGCGGAUCAGCAUGCCGCGGUGAAUAUGUUCCCGGGGCUUGUACACACCGCCCGUCAUAUCACCCGAGUCGGGGAUACCCGAAGUCCGUGACCCAACCAUUUGGAGGGAGCGGCCGAAGGUGUGCCUGGUAAGGGGGGUAAAGUCGUAACAAGGUAACCAAGGGCGAAUCGCG
Molecule: ribosomal RNA, 876 nt
Filed under: uncultured organism
Description: bacterial SSU rRNA
Rfam family: Bacterial small subunit ribosomal RNA
Source: RNAcentral